GAUGAAGAACGCAGCGAAAUGCGAUAAGUAGUGUGAAUUGCAGAAUUCAGUGAAUCAUCGAAUCUUUGAACGCACAUUGCGCCCCUUGGUAUUCCAUGGGGCAUGCCUGUUCGAGCGUCAUUUGUACCCUCAAGCACUGCUUGGUGUUGGGUGUUUGUCCCGCUUUGCGCGUGGACUCGCCUUAAAGCAAUUGGCAGCCGGCAGAUUGGCCUGGAUCGCGAGCACAUUUUGCGACCUUGUCAUAACUGUUUGGCACCCAUCAAGACUAUUUUUUGCUCUUGACCUCGGAUCAGGUAGGGAUACCCGCUGAACUUAAGCAUAUCAAUAAGCGGAGA
RNAcentral lists this unclassified non-coding RNA (335 nucleotides) under soil metagenome. Its description in RNAcentral is "partial contains 5.8S ribosomal RNA, internal transcribed spacer 2, and large subunit ribosomal RNA". The stretch from base 1 to 120 matches the Rfam family "5.8S ribosomal RNA", at positions 35 to 154 of the family's 154-position model. The record is from RNAcentral.